UCGAGGGGGAUAACAGUUGGAAACGACUGCUAAUACCGCAUACGCCCUACGGGGGAAAGAGGGGGACCUUCGGGCCUCUCGCGAUUGGAUGAACCUAGGUGGGAUUAGCUAGUUGGUGAGGUAAUGGCUCACCAAGGCGACGAUCCCUAGCUGUUCUGAGAGGAUGAUCAGCCACACUGGGACUGAGACACGGCCCAGACUCCUACGGGAGGCAGCAGUGGGGAAUAUUGCACAAUGGGGGAAACCCUGAUGCAGCCAUGCCGCGUGUGUGAAGAAGGCCUUCGGGUUGU
This 290-nucleotide ribosomal RNA is filed under the name Shewanella sp. TC3. Its description in RNAcentral is "partial 16S ribosomal RNA". It matches the Rfam family "Bacterial small subunit ribosomal RNA", at positions 134 to 426 of the family's 1533-position model. Lineage: Bacteria; Pseudomonadati; Pseudomonadota; Gammaproteobacteria; Alteromonadales; Shewanellaceae. The record is from RNAcentral.